RNAcentral lists this transfer RNA (85 nucleotides) under Gammaproteobacteria bacterium. RNAcentral's name for it is "tRNA-Leu". It matches the Rfam family "tRNA". From Rfam's summary of the family: Transfer RNA (tRNA) molecules are approximately 80 nucleotides in length. Their secondary structure includes four short double-helical elements and three loops (D, anti-codon, and T loops). Further hydrogen bonds mediate the characteristic L-shaped molecular structure. tRNAs have two regions of fundamental functional importance: the anti-codon, which is responsible for specific mRNA codon recognition, and the 3' end, to which the tRNAs corresponding amino acid is attached (by aminoacyl-tRNA synthetases). tRNAs cope with the degeneracy of the genetic code in two manners: having more than one tRNA (with a specific anti-codon) for a particular amino acid; and 'wobble' base-pairing, i.e. permitting non-standard base-pairing at the 3rd anti-codon position. Lineage: Bacteria; Pseudomonadati; Pseudomonadota; Gammaproteobacteria. RNAcentral also lists the same sequence under 2 other names. The record is from RNAcentral.
GCGAGAGUGGUGAAAUUGGUAUACACGCUAGAUUUAGGUUCUAGUGCCGCAAGGCGUGAGAGUUCGAGUCUCUCCUUUCGCACCA